RNAcentral lists this long non-coding RNA (261 nucleotides) under Lathyrus oleraceus (garden pea). Its description in RNAcentral is "Pisum sativum (pea) long non-coding RNA (PSAT_LNC018234)". Lineage: Eukaryota; Viridiplantae; Streptophyta; Magnoliopsida; Fabales; Fabaceae. The record is from RNAcentral.
UAUGCCAUUGAAUUUUUAAGCUUUUUCUUAAAUCAAAUUUGUAAAUAAACUUAAAUAUAUUGACUUAAAUUUCAAAAUACAAAAAGAACUAAUAACCCCAUUCAAAUCUUUGGCCAUUUGUGCCUUCUCUUAUUAAAAUUUUAUGAAAAAUAAUUCACCAACUCAUUUGAAAUUUUUACCAAGAAUUACGAGGUUUUGAUCCCUCAUUUUUAUGUUGGUACGUAGGCACAAGACCGAAGGUCUUGUCAAACACAAAAAUAU